RNAcentral lists this ribosomal RNA (1554 nucleotides) under Escherichia coli. RNAcentral's name for it is "bacterial SSU rRNA". It matches the Rfam family "Bacterial small subunit ribosomal RNA". The record is from RNAcentral. Lineage: Bacteria; Pseudomonadati; Pseudomonadota; Gammaproteobacteria; Enterobacterales; Enterobacteriaceae.
AAAUUGAAGAGUUUGAUCAUGGCUCAGAUUGAACGCUGGCGGCAGGCCUAACACAUGCAAGUCGAACGGUAACAGGAAGAAGCUUGCUUCUUUGCUGACGAGUGGCGGACGGGUGAGUAAUGUCUGGGAAACUGCCUGAUGGAGGGGGAUAACUGCUGGAAACGGUAGCUAAUACCGCAUAACGUCGCAAGACCAAAGAGGGGGACCUUCGGGCCUCUUGCCAUCGGAUGUGCCCAGAUGGGAUUAGCUAGUAGGUGGGGUAACGGCUCACCUAGGCGACGAUCCCUAGCUGGUCUGAGAGGAUGACCAGCCACACUGGAACUGAGACACGGUCCAGACUCCUACGGGAGGCAGCAGUGGGGAAUAUUGCACAAUGGGCGCAAGCCUGAUGCAGCCAUGCCGCGUGUAUGAAGAAGGCCUUCGGGUUGUAAAGUACUUUCAGCGGGGAGGAAGGGAGUAAAGUUAAUACCUUUGCUCAUUGACGUUACCCGCAGAAGAAGCACCGGCUAACUCCGUGCCAGCAGCCGCGGUAAUACGGAGGGUGCAAGCGUUAAUCGGAAUUACUGGGCGUAAAGCGCACGCAGGCGGUUUGUUAAGUCAGAUGUGAAAUCCCCGGGCUCAACCUGGGAACUGCAUCUGAUACUGGCAAGCUUGAGUCUCGUAGAGGGGGGUAGAAUUCCAGGUGUAGCGGUGAAAUGCGUAGAGAUCUGGAGGAAUACCGGUGGCGAAGGCGGCCCCCUGGACGAAGACUGACGCUCAGGUGCGAAAGCGUGGGGAGCAAACAGGAUUAGAUACCCUGGUAGUCCACGCCGUAAACGAUGUCGACUUGGAGGUUGUGCCCUUGAGGCGUGGCUUCCGGAGCUAACGCGUUAAGUCGACCGCCUGGGGAGUACGGCCGCAAGGUUAAAACUCAAAUGAAUUGACGGGGGCCCGCACAAGCGGUGGAGCAUGUGGUUUAAUUCGAUGCAACGCGAAGAACCUUACCUGGUCUUGACAUCCACGGAAGUUUUCAGAGAUGAGAAUGUGCCUUCGGGAACCGUGAGACAGGUGCUGCAUGGCUGUCGUCAGCUCGUGUUGUGAAAUGUUGGGUUAAGUCCCGCAACGAGCGCAACCCUUAUCCUUUGUUGCCAGCGGUCCGGCCGGGAACUCAAAGGAGACUGCCAGUGAUAAACUGGAGGAAGGUGGGGAUGACGUCAAGUCAUCAUGGCCCUUACGACCAGGGCUACACACGUGCUACAAUGGCGCAUACAAAGAGAAGCGACCUCGCGAGAGCAAGCGGACCUCAUAAAGUGCGUCGUAGUCCGGAUUGGAGUCUGCAACUCGACUCCAUGAAGUCGGAAUCGCUAGUAAUCGUGGAUCAGAAUGCCACGGUGAAUACGUUCCCGGGCCUUGUACACACCGCCCGUCACACCAUGGGAGUGGGUUGCAAAAGAAGUAGGUAGCUUAACCUUCGGGAGGGCGCUUACCACUUUGUGAUUCAUGACUGGGGUGAAGUCGUAACAAGGUAACCGUAGGGGAACCUGCGGUUGGAUCACCUCCUUACCUUAAAGAAGC